This 76-nucleotide transfer RNA is filed under the name Bacteroidota bacterium. Its description in RNAcentral is "tRNA-His". It matches the Rfam family "tRNA". Rfam says of the family: Transfer RNA (tRNA) molecules are approximately 80 nucleotides in length. Their secondary structure includes four short double-helical elements and three loops (D, anti-codon, and T loops). Lineage: Bacteria; Pseudomonadati; Bacteroidota. The record is from RNAcentral.
GGUGAUUGUAGCUCAGUUGGUUAGAGCGCUAGUUUGUGGCACUAGAGGCCGCGGGUUCGAGUCCCGUCUUUCACCC